GUGUGGGUCCCAUUCCACGGGGUCCGUGCCGCAGCUAACGCAUUAAGCGCCCCGCCUGGGGAGUACGGCCGCAAGGCUAAAACUCAAAGGAAUUGACGGGGGCCCGCACAAGCGGCGGAGCAUGCGGAUUAAUUCGAUGCAACGCGAAGAACCUUACCAAGGCUUGACAUAUACCGGAAACUCUCAGAGAUGGGGGCCCCGCAAGGUCGGUAUACAGGUGGUGCAUGGUUGUCGUCAGCUCGUGUCGUGAGAUGUUGGGUUAAGUCCCGCAACGAGCGCAACCCUCGUUCUAUGUUGCCAGCACGUGAUGGUGGGGACUCAUAGGAGACUGCCGGGGUCAACUCGGAGGAAGGUGGGGAUGACGUCAAAUCAUCAUGCCCCUUACGUCUUGGGCUUCACGCAUGCUACAAUGGCCGGUACAGAGGGCUGCGAUACCGCGAGGUGGAGCGAAUCCCUUAAAGCCGGUCUCAGUUCGGAUUGGGGUCUGCAACUCGACCCCAUGAAGUCGGAGUCGCUAGUAAUCGCAGAUCAGCAACGCUGCGGUGAAUACGUUCCCGGGCCUUGUACACACCGCCCGUCAAGUCACGAAAGUCGGUAACACCCGAAGCCGGUGGCCCAACCCUUGUGGGGGGAGCCGUCGAAGGUGGGGCUG
This 652-nucleotide ribosomal RNA is filed under the name uncultured bacterium. Its description in RNAcentral is "bacterial SSU rRNA". It matches the Rfam family "Bacterial small subunit ribosomal RNA", at positions 820 to 1470 of the family's 1533-position model. The record is from RNAcentral.